AAGUCCUUUAAAACAGUCCCGUGAGGCUGGGAAGGAAACGGAUUGAAUAAGGAAAUUUGUAUCCCUUAUUCUGCAGCAGCAGAAUCGUUUACCCUCUCGCCCGAUCGGUGAGAGGGUUUUUUAU
Non-coding RNA from Bacillus sp. 2_A_57_CT2, 124 nucleotides. Lineage: Bacteria; Bacillati; Bacillota; Bacilli; Caryophanales; Bacillaceae. The record is from Rfam.